RNAcentral lists this ribosomal RNA (118 nucleotides) under Pteropus alecto (black flying fox). The record is from RNAcentral. Lineage: Eukaryota; Metazoa; Chordata; Mammalia; Chiroptera; Pteropodidae.
GUCUACAACCAGGCUACCCUCAACAAGCCCGAUCCCAUCUGAUAUGAGAAGCUAAGCAGGGUCAGGUCUGGUCAGUACUUGGAUGGGAGACCACCUAGGAAGACAGGUGCUGUAGGUG